Molecule: long non-coding RNA, 220 nt
Filed under: Gossypium raimondii (Peruvian cotton)
Lineage: Eukaryota; Viridiplantae; Streptophyta; Magnoliopsida; Malvales; Malvaceae
Description: long non-coding RNA (GRAI_LNC004532)
Source: RNAcentral
UCAAGGCUUCUUAGGACUUAUCUUUUAAUUUCUUACUGUCAAUUCUUUCUUUAUUUCUACUUGUGCUGAAUCAUUAUCUAAUCUAUUUUCUGUUCUUAUUGUGUUUUCAGCCUUUUCCUAUCUUAAGGAAUCAGCCCAAAAAUCCCCAAUUUCUAGGGUUUUUCCAUACUCUUUUUGGGUGAAAUUAGAUUGUCGAAAUUUGGGGAAAACUAUCUUGGUG